This is a long non-coding RNA of Homo sapiens (human), 1560 nucleotides long. Ensembl annotates it as long intergenic non-protein coding RNA 1121. NCBI's taxonomy places the organism in Eukaryota, Metazoa, Chordata, Mammalia, Primates, Hominidae. The record is from Ensembl.
AGGUAACUCACAUUUGCGACUUGCACGGUGUGAAUUGUGGGUGUCCUCACCUGUCCUGAGACUAGCCAGCUGACUGUUGCCCAGAGCUAGCAGGCAUAGCCAGCUGAAAUUCUGAAAGUGGAUUAUGCAUGGAGUAAUGCUGUUCUCAGGAAAUCAGUGAUUUAUUUUAUAAUCUAAAAUUUAAACGUUUUAAUAUACCUCCCAAGAAGAUACCCAGUUCAGAAAACUGCAGAGGAGCCAUGGAACUCAGCAGAAGGCCAGCUCCCUCUCUGGGAGGCCGCCUUCAGGAAACCAAUCGUCCCCCCACCUGAUUCCAAAGGAAUUACAGAAAAAUGGAAAGCCAGGAACAAAAAUCAUAAAUCAUAUUUUCAAUAUGACCUUGUAACGUUAUCCAUGGAUGUUACCUCAGACUUCGUGAUAAGCUGAGGCCCUGACACCAUGUUCCUGUCACCUUCCUGUUGUGGCCAUGAACGAUGCCUUGAGCUCAGCUGUACCUGGAUGCUUGGACUCAGCUGCUGCAGCUCAGAGGCUCUGGACGAGCCCUUCAUCAUCAGGCCAUCUCUUCUGAGAUUCUGCUCAGGACUUGGGCCUGGAUGAUCUGCUGAGCUUCAGUCUCUGCCCUGCUCCCCUCAUGGAGGACCUGAUUCAUCUGGAGCCUCGGACUCCCUAUGUAGUGGUCCCUGGGAUCAGAGCAGCACUCUUGGUUAUGGAGGCUGAGAAGUUCAAGGUCAAGUUACCACGUCUGGCGAGAGACAUUCUUGAUGAAGAACAGUAAAACAGACUUGUUAUUGGCAGCCCAUUAGUGCUCAGGAGAGGCGGUCUCCAGCAUGACAUCAGCCGGCGGCUCGACCCAAAUCUAGUAUUUCACCAGAGAGCCUAACGCUGCUGGCUUUCCAACUGUGUGGAAGACGAUACAGGCGUAACAAAGACAAGGAUGAAAUAAGUCCUGUGAUGGAGAGACAAGCAAAAUUCUACCUGACUUCACAGGAGGAAGAAGUGUGCUGUGCCAGGGGGAACAGGAGAAAGCUUCAUGGAAGAGCGACAUUCACGAGAGAGACGAAUAGGACACGGUCAUCCGAGUGCCGAGGCGCGGAAGCGCGAACUGCCCGGAGCGACCUGGCUUGGCGCACAGACUCAUUAACCAAGCCCGAGAGGAGGCAGCAAUGCGUGUGCGGGAAAGGGAGCGGUUCUCAAAAUACAAAGUGAUAAAACAGCUUCCAGUUAUAUUGAAAAACGAUGCAAACCCUCAAUUCCUUUUUUUUUUUUUUGGACCUGGCCGGACCUGGAAAUGCCGGUUAUAAACAAGAAUAAAAACUUGAAUUUAUUGGUGGAAGUCCUGUUAAAAGAGCUCAACACAAGCAUAUGAGACAAACUGCAAGAAGCAAACAGUCUCCAUUCAGAGAGCAGGACCACACUCUGGGUUCUUGUUUAAGCGUUUGACGUGCACAUGAGACACCUAACAAAGCCUGAAACUAAAUUUAUUUUUCACUACAUCUCUCUGGUAUCAAACUUUUGGAAGUAAAGCAUGUAUUUAUCAAUAAAACAGAUGUUUGCCCAGCA